GGACUGAGACACGGCCCAGACUCCUACGGGAGGCAGCAGUAGGGAAUUUUCGGCAAUGGGGGAAACCCUGACCGAGCAACGCCGCGUGAGUGAAGAAGGCCUUCGGGUUGUAAAGCUCUGUUGUAAGGGAAGAACAAGUGUGAGAGGGAAUGCUCAUGCUAUGACGGUACCUUACCAGAAAGCCACGGCUAACUACGUGCCAGCAGCCGCGGUAAUACGUAGGUGGCAAGCGUUAUCCGGAAUUAUUGGGCGUAAAGGGAGCGCAGGCGGUUUAUUAAGUUUAUGGUGAAAGUUCGGGGCUCAACCCCGUGAUGCCAUAGAAACUGGUAGACUUGAGUGCAGGAGAGGUUAGUGGAAUUCCAUGUGUAGCGGUAAAAUGCGUAGAUAUAUGGAGGAACACCAGUGGCGAAGGCGGCUAACUGGCCUGUAACUGACGCUGAGGCUCGAAAGCGUGGGGAGCAAAUAGGAUUAGAUACCCUAGUAGUCCACGCCGUAAACGAUGGAUACUAAGUGUUGGAGAAAUUCAGUGCUGUAGUUAACGCAAUAAGUAUCCCGCCUGGGGAGUAUGCGCGCAAGCGUAAAACUCAAAGGAAUUGACGGGGGCCCGCACAAGCGGUGGAGUAUGUGGUUUAAUUCGAAGCAACGCGAAGAACCUUACCAGGUCUUGACAUACCACGCAAAAGCAUAGAGAUAUGUAAUAGUUAUGGUGGAUACAGGUGGUGCAUGGUUGUCGUCAGCUCGUGUCGUGAGAUGUUGGGUUAAGUCCCGCAACGAGCGCAACCCUUGUCUUCAGUUACCAGCAUUAAGUUGGGGACUCUGGAGAGACUGCCGGUGAUAAACCGGAGGAAGGUGGGGAUGACGUCAAAUCAUCAUGCCCCUUAUGAUCUGGGCUACACACGUACUACAAUGGCGUAUACAGAGGGCAGCGAAGCAGUGAUGCGGAGCGAAUCUCAGAAAGUACGUCUCAGUUCGGAUUGGAGUCUGCAACUCGACUCCAUGAAGUCGGAAUCGCUAGUAAUCGCGAAUCAGAAUGUCGCGGUGAAUACGUUCUCGGGCCUUGUACACACCGCCCGUCAAACCAUGAGAGUUGGUAAUACCCGAAGCCGGUGGCCUAACCCGAAAGGGAGGGAGCCGUCGAAGGUAGGACCGAUGAUUGGGGUUAAGUCGUAACAAGGUAUCCCUACCGGAAGGUGGGGAUG
Molecule: ribosomal RNA, 1199 nt
Filed under: marine sediment metagenome
Description: bacterial SSU rRNA
Rfam family: Bacterial small subunit ribosomal RNA
Source: RNAcentral